RNAcentral lists this ribosomal RNA (449 nucleotides) under uncultured bacterium. RNAcentral describes it as "partial 16S ribosomal RNA". It matches the Rfam family "Bacterial small subunit ribosomal RNA", at positions 29 to 523 of the family's 1533-position model. The record is from RNAcentral.
AACGAACGCUGGCGGCAGGCCUAACACAUGCAAGUCGAACGCUCUAGCAAUAGAGGGUGGCAGACGGGUGAGUAACGCGUGGGAAACUUCCUAGGGGUACGGAAUAGCUCAGGGAAACUUGGGGUAAUACCGUAUGAUGCCGUAAGGCCAAAGAUUUAUCGCCCUUAGAUGUGCCCGCGUCGGAUUAGCUAGUUGGUGAGGUAACGGCUCACCAAGGCGACGAUCCGUAGCUGGUUUGAGAGAAUGACCAGCCACACUGGGACUGAGACACGGCCCAGACUCCUACGGGAGGCAGCAGUGGGGAAUCUUGGACAAUGGGCGCAAGCCUGAUCCAGCCAUGCCGCGUGAGUGACGAAAGCCUUAGGGUUGUAAAGCUCUUUUGCCGGGGACGAUAAUGACGGUACCCGGAGAAUAAGUCCCGGCUAACUUCGUGCCAGCAGCCGCAGUAA